UGGGGAAUUUUGGACAAUGGGCGAAAGCCUGAUCCAGCAAUGCCGCGUGUGUGAAGAAGGCCUUCGGGUUGUAAAGCACUUUUGUCCGGAAAGAAAUCCUUGGCUCUAAUACAGUCGGGGGAUGACGGUACCGGAAGAAUAAGCACCGGCUAACUACGUGCCAGCAGCCGCGGUAAUACGUAGGGUGCAAGCGUUAAUCGGAAUUACUGGGCGUAAAGCGUGCGCAGGCGGUUUGCUAAGACCGAUGUGAAAUCCCCGGGCUCAACCUGGGAACUGCAUUGGUGACUGCAAGGCUAGAGUAUGGCAGAGGGGGGUAGAAUUCCACGUGUAGCAGUGAAAUGCGUAGAGAUGUGGAGGAAUACCGAUGGCGAAGGCAGCCCCCUGGGCCAAUACUGACGCUCAUGCACGAAAGCGUGGGGAGCAAACAGGAUUAGAUACCCUGGUAGUCCACGCCCUAAACGAUGUCAACUAGUUGUUGGGGAUUCAUUUCCUUAGUAACGUAGCUAACGCGUGAAGUUGACCGCCUGGGGAGUACGGUCGCAAGAUUAAAACUUAAAGGAAUUGACGGGGUCAUAGCUGUUUCCU
This 585-nucleotide ribosomal RNA is filed under the name uncultured bacterium. RNAcentral describes it as "partial 16S ribosomal RNA". It matches the Rfam family "Bacterial small subunit ribosomal RNA", at positions 355 to 1375 of the family's 1533-position model. The record is from RNAcentral.